RNAcentral lists this ribosomal RNA (433 nucleotides) under uncultured bacterium. RNAcentral's name for it is "partial 16S ribosomal RNA". It matches the Rfam family "Bacterial small subunit ribosomal RNA", at positions 29 to 507 of the family's 1533-position model. The record is from RNAcentral.
AACGAACGCUGGCGGCAUGCCUAACACAUGCAAGUCGAACGAUACCUUCGGGUCUAGUGGCGCACGGGUGCGUAACGCGUGGGAACCUGCCCUUAGGUUCGGAAUAACUCCCCGAAAGGGGUGCUAAUACCGGAUAAUGUCUUCGGACCAAAGAUUUAUCGCCUUUGGUUGGGCCCGCGUUGGAUUAGCUAGUUGGUAGGGUAAAAGCCUACCAAGGCGACGAUCCAUAGCUGGUCUGAGAGGAUGAUCAGCCACACUGGGACUGAGACACGGCCCAGACUCCUACGGGAGGCAGCAGUGGGGAAUAAUGGACAAUGGGCGAAAGACUGAUCCAGCAAUGCCGCGUGAGUGAUGAAGGACUUAGGGUUGUAAAGCUCUUUUACCAGGGAUGAUAAUGACAGUACCGUGAGAAUAAGCUCCGGCUAACUCCGUG